AUUUCCUUGCCUUAAUCCCAAUUUCUUCCCCUAAGCUCUCACCGACGCCUCCUCCCCUCUCCGUGCCAACUCUCUUCAUCUUCCCCAACUGACGCGCUACCCUCGCGCCGCCUCGCGACGCCUCUACUUCCUCACUGAUAAAAUCCAUCGGCCAAGGGAAGUUUCGAGCCUUUCCCCUUACGUCGUCCCCUUCCUCUCACCUUUGCCUUGAUUCCCCUCUUCCACUCCUCUGGCCGAUCGAGAUCUCUCCACCGUCGCCUCCUCGGCCGACCACCGUUCAGUUCCAAGCCUUCCUCUUUCGAAGCUCUCAGUUUCUCCUCGCCUCACACCACCAAUCCGUGCCCUAGCUCACUGAAUCGCCACUCCACACCAGUCAUCUCUGACCAAGAGAGGGAGAUCCGAGCCCUAGAUUGGCUGGAGUAGGUUGUGAUAAGCUUCUAGAAGGUUAUUUCAGCCUACUAGUCAGAUAUCGAGCUACUACCGACGAUCUUUUCUUUGUUGAUCUCAACAGCCGUUAGAUCUAACCGACGGAGAAGGAACAACCGAUUGGUGGCUUCUGGGUAGUGUUGGCCACAAGUUUUGACAGCAACAUCUUCCGGCAAGCAAUUUUCGGUAGCUGCUCUACCUGGCUGUGGAUCAAUAGGAGAGGCUUUGGGUUGAGGGUCUUGAACACUUUAUGAAGUAAGUGAAAUUGGCAGAGCAUGGAUUAUCCUAUGCUGUAGUUUCUAUCGUGGACCCACAAAGUAGUGGGAAGAGCACUCUAUUAAACCAUUUAUUUGACACCAACUUUCGAGAGAUGGAUGCUUUCAGGGGAAGGCAAGUUCUUGAAUUCUUGUAUAUAUAUAUUAUCAAUUUUAGUGCUACUGAUAUAUGAGUUAUUUUAGAUCACAAACCACAAAAGGCAUUUGGUUAGCAAAUUGUGUUGGGAUUGAACCAUGUACAAUUGCUAUAGGCUUAGAAGGUACUGAUGGACGAGAAUGAGGAGAGGUAUUAUUCUCAACCAAACUAUUGAACUCACAAUAGGUCUCUUUUGGCAUAGGAUUAAGCAUUUUAUCUUUUGAAGUUCUAGAUAUGCCUAAGAGGUGCCCCUAUCUUAGAAUGAUUUUAGGCAUAUAAAAUAAAAUUCUCAUUAUUUACAAACCUCUAACAUUUAACAAAAUUAGUCAAUGUGAUGAGAAAUUCAACUUGUUCAAGACUUUCUUUUAGAAAGCUCGUUGUCACGAUUGCAACCAUUUGAUACUUUAUGAAGUUGGUUAAGAAUCAUGUAGUUUUCAUUAACAAGUUAAUUAAGAAGCUCUAUUUGCAAUGUUGAGGACUUGAAUCGUAGAGCAGUCACCUUGAAAACAUCUUAGUAUAAGCUUGUUGAAUCAAGUUCACAAUUAUAGUUGUUUACCUUUUCUCUCCUUUGUUUACCUUAAUUGGAUUUUUUACUCCAUUUCUCAGUCUGUCGAUAACACAACUUUGAGUUAUGUUUCUACUUUGUUCAGAAUGAUACUGCCUUUGAGAAGCAGAGUGCUCUUUUUUCUUUAGCAGUUUUUGAUAUAGUCCUAAUAAACAUGUAAGUUCAUUUUCAUUAUGCGUCAAAUGCUACCUUUGUCUAGAACAAGGGUGAGCAUUUGCCUCUAUGAUAUAGGUGGUGCCAUGAUAUUGGUCGAGAACAAGUGGCAAAUAAGUCUCUUUUAAAGACAGUCUUCCAGGUGAUGCUGAGACUGUUUAGUCCUCAUAAGACCACACUACUCUUUGUUAUACGAGAUAAAAUAAGGAUCUCCUGGUGCCUUAUCAAAGGGGUGGAAAGAUUGGACUUUUUGAUGGAGUUGGUGUGGGAAGACUGGAUUUAUUAUGGAAUUGAUGAUCAACAAUGUUGGAAAAGGUUGGCAUGGAAGAAUCAGCAAGUGAGAAAGAGGAGUCCAAUGAAAUUCUACAAGUUGAAGAUUGUGAUGGGGCUGGGGUUGACAAUAAUUACUUGUAAUCCUACAUGGCAUGAAUCACCAUCAUAAGUUUCUAGUCUUUUGA
This is a long non-coding RNA of Zingiber officinale, 2013 nucleotides long. RefSeq lists it as uncharacterized. The record is from RefSeq and is a predicted model, not a curated record. NCBI's taxonomy places the organism in Eukaryota, Viridiplantae, Streptophyta, Magnoliopsida, Zingiberales, Zingiberaceae. The transcript is spliced from 6 exons.